Long non-coding RNA from Portunus trituberculatus (swimming crab), 881 nucleotides. RefSeq lists it as uncharacterized. The transcript has 2 exons. The record is from RefSeq and is a predicted model, not a curated record. NCBI's taxonomy places the organism in Eukaryota, Metazoa, Arthropoda, Malacostraca, Decapoda, Portunidae.
UCGAACUCGGGCCUCUUGAUUGUGAGUCGAGCGUGCUAACCACUACACUACGCGUGUGUGUGUGUGUGUGUGUGUGUGUGUGUGUGUGUGUGUGUGUGUGUGUGUUGAUUUUCAUAGAGAAAACAUUGAAUGACAUAUGAUUGCUAAAAGAAAGGGAAUAAGUUGAAGCAGAUACAUAGAAUAUAAUUAUGGAAACUGUAUAACAUUAAGACAGUUGAUGAUCUGACAUGAGUAAUGACUAGAGGUGCCAGAGACAAGAGAACUUUUAAGACAAAGACAAGUUUCUCUGGUUUCCUCUGCUCACAGUGUGGGCUAGAGAGCGCAGAGAGACAAACUCUUCUACCUUGAGGCUAUCUAGUCAAGAUUCAGUACAUAUAACAUAAUCAUGCCAGUGUGUGUGUGUGUGUGUGUGUGUGUGUGUGUGUGUGUGUGUGUGUGUGUGUGUGUGUGUGUGUGUGUGUGUGUGUGUGUGUGUGUGUGUGCGUGCGUGCGUGCGUGCGUGUGUGCGCACCACUGUGUUCUGGGGACAUGCACCACUGUCACUAGUGUGAGGUGUGUUGGUGUUGAUGUGUAAGGGAAGCGGGAGUAGCAAGCUGCAAGGGGCACACUGCACCUGCUGAGCUUCAGUCCUCAGCUUGUAUGGGGUGUGGUUCCUCAGGACAGGCAUCUGUUGAUGCAUUGAAGAAGUGAAGAACAUUUAUUGUCUUACAUUCCCAACAGCCAUGGAAUGAGCUGGCAUUGUUCUCUGCUAAGAUACCAUUGCAGCCUUUUUGUUAUUUAUGUUUCUGCACAAAGAGUAAGUCAUUUAGAACAUUUACAUUUUUCGUCAUUGCAUGAUGCCAUGUGACUUCUCAAUUAAUCGAAAAUAAAGAUUAAGAUUC